UGGGGAAUAUUGGACAAUGGGCGAAAGCCUGAUCCAGCCAUGCCGCGUGUGUGAAGAAGGCCUUAUGGUUGUAAAGCACUUUAAGUGGGGAGGAAAAGCUUAUGGAUAACACCCAUAGGUUCUGACGUUACCCACAGAAUAAGCACCGGCUAACUCUGUGCCAGCAGCCGCGGUAAUACAGAGGGUGCAAGCGUUAAUCGGAAUUACUGGGCGUAAAGCGAGCGUAGGUGGUUUAUUAAGUCAGAUGUGAAAUCCCUGGGCUUAACCUAGGAACUGCAUCUGAUACUGACAAACUAGAGUAGGUGAGAGGAAAGUAGAAUUCCAGGUGUAGCGGUGAAAUGCGUAGAGAUCUGGAGGAAUACCGAUGGCGAAGGCAGCUUUCUGGCAUCAUACUGACACUGAGGUUCGAAAGCGUGGGUAGCAAACAGGAUUAGAUACCCUGGUAGUCCACGCCGUAAACGAUGUCUACCAGUCGUUGGGUCUUUUAAAGACUUAGUGACGCAGUUAACGCGAUAAGUAGACCGCCUGGGGAGUACGGCCGCAAGGUUA
This 549-nucleotide ribosomal RNA is filed under the name uncultured bacterium. RNAcentral's name for it is "bacterial SSU rRNA". It matches the Rfam family "Bacterial small subunit ribosomal RNA", at positions 355 to 896 of the family's 1533-position model. The record is from RNAcentral.